UGGGGAAUAUUGCACAAUGGGCGGAAGCCUGAUGCAGCAACGCCGCGUGCGGGAUGACGGCCUUCGGGUUGUAAACCGCUUUCGCCUGUGACGAAGCGUGAGUGACGGUAAUGGGUAAAGAAGCACCGGCUAACUACGUGCCAGCAGCCGCGGUGAUACGUAGGGUGCGAGCGUUGUCCGGAUCUAUUGGGCGUAAAGGGCUCGUAGGUGGUUGAUCGCGUCGGAAGUGUAAUCUUGGGGCUUAACCCUGAGCGUGCUUUCGAUACGGGUUGACUUGAGGAAGGUAGGGGAGAAUGGAAUUCCUGGUGGAGCGGUGGAAUGCGCAGAUAUCAGGAGGAACACCAGUGGCGAAGGCGGUUCUCUGGGCCUUUCCUGACGCUGAGGAGCGAAAGCGUGGGGAGCGAACA
RNAcentral lists this ribosomal RNA (407 nucleotides) under uncultured bacterium. Its description in RNAcentral is "partial 16S ribosomal RNA". It matches the Rfam family "Bacterial small subunit ribosomal RNA", at positions 355 to 774 of the family's 1533-position model. The record is from RNAcentral.